RNAcentral lists this ribosomal RNA (301 nucleotides) under uncultured bacterium. RNAcentral's name for it is "partial 16S ribosomal RNA". It matches the Rfam family "Bacterial small subunit ribosomal RNA", at positions 509 to 809 of the family's 1533-position model. The record is from RNAcentral.
CAGUAGCCACGGGAAUACGAGGGGGGCAAGUGUUGUUCGGAAUUAUUGGGCGUAAAGGGUGCGUAGGCGGUUUGGCAAGUUUGGUGUGAAAUCUUCGGGCUCAACUCGAAGUCUGCAUCGAAAACUGCCGGGCUUGAGUAUGGGAGAGGUGAGUGGAAUUUCCGGUGUAGCGGUGAAAUGCGUAGAUAUCGGAAGGAACACCUGUGGCGAAAGCGGCUCACUGGACCAUAACUGACGCUGAUGCACGAAAGCUAGGGGAGCAAACAGGAUUAGAUACCCCGGUAGUCCCUGUCUCUUAUAA